AGAGUUUGAUCCUGGCUCAGGAUAAACGCUGGCGGCGUGCCUAACACAUGCAAGUCGAACGCCCUCACGCAAGUGAGGGAGUGGCGGACGGGUGAGGAACGCGUGGGUCAUCUACCUUGAGGUGAGGAAUACCGGCGAGAAAUCGCCGACAAGACCGCAUACGCUUCGUGAGAAGCAAAGUCGUAAGACGCCACAAGAUG
This 200-nucleotide ribosomal RNA is filed under the name uncultured bacterium. Its description in RNAcentral is "partial 16S ribosomal RNA". It matches the Rfam family "Bacterial small subunit ribosomal RNA", at positions 8 to 227 of the family's 1533-position model. The record is from RNAcentral.